This 1260-nucleotide long non-coding RNA is filed under the name Capsicum annuum. RNAcentral describes it as "long non-coding RNA (CANN_LNC011347)". The record is from RNAcentral. Lineage: Eukaryota; Viridiplantae; Streptophyta; Magnoliopsida; Solanales; Solanaceae.
UUGACAAGAGGUAUUGAAUCUGUAGCUUCGAUUAACAACGAUACUCCAUCGUUUGUUUGGGUGUUUCUCAAUUAAAUAAUUACAAAGCAGGAUUUAUAACGGAGUUAGAAGAGGAAAAGUUGAGGUCAGAGUCAUGUAUAAAAAAUUAUCAUGACCACGUUAAUAUGCAUUGUAGCAUGGUAGAUUUACAAUCAAAAAAUAAUUUAACUGACACUUUCAAACUAUCAAUGGCCGGUACAUAUGUAUCGAAAAAAAGGAUAUUGGGUCUACUAGCAAGGUUGAAAAGGCAAAAAAUUUCAAAUAUUCUCAAUCCAAAGGGGGGAGUAAUGAUGUUGUGAUCAUUCCAAGAUAUUUUUAUAUAUUCACUAAUCCAUUCUCAUACAUGCUAAUUAUUUUGAAGUAUAUAUGUAUAGAAAUACAUUUUUAACAUAUUAUACAUUUUAAGGAGGAUAUAAUGUAUUUACAUAUAUAAAUUUUUAACAUAAUAUACAUUUAAAAAGUAUUUAUACUAUAUCUGAAGUUAGUAUAUAGAUAUAUACAUUUUUAACAUAAUAUACAUUUCUGUGUGAAAUUAGUAUAUACUUCUUUUCUGAAGCUAAUAUAUGCAUAUAUACAUUUAUAAAUUGCAUAUAAGGAAAAAAAUUAUGUGUUUGUAUAUAUAUGUGUGUGUGUGUGCAUGAUUGUGUGUGUGCGCGUAUGUGUAUGUUUUAAGAUAUAGAAUUUAUUUGUAUAAAUUAAGUUGGUUAUUUUGUUUGUAUAGAUUGUAAAAUCUGUUUUUGCUUUUUAUACACUUCUACUAAAAAGAUAGAUUUCUAUCAUUGUCUAAAUUUUUAUUAGACAUUUGUGAUAUUUUGAUUUAAUAGGAUAGUAAGUUUGUCAUCAUUGAUCUUCCUAAGAAGUCCCCACAAAUGGAGUGUUACAAGGAGAGACAAAUAUUUGAUACUUUAAAAUAAAAGCUAUUAAGUGAACAACUUAAAAGAUUUGUGCAUACAUGCUUUGGUCAAUACAUCUCCAUGUUAGAUCUAUAGGUUCAAUCGUAAAUAUUUUGGUGCGCUAUGUCCCUUUAGUUGAAAAUCAAUUUUAAGAAUGUUCUCAUGAUGUGAUUUAAUGAGUACACAUUAAGGUUUACAUUAAGAAAAUUUGCAAUUGUAUCUGAUCUAAACUGUGUUGCUUCUAAAUUCGAUUUUGUAUUCAACACAAGUAUGCCAAAUAGAUUACUUCAGAUAUAUUUUGAUGGUAAAGAAGAACCUUAUAAAGUAA